CGCCAACCAGACGGCCGUUACACGCCGACCAGACGGCCGUUACACACCAUCCAGACGGCUGUUACACACCGACUAGACGGCACCGACCAGACGGCCAUCACACACCGACCAGACGGCCGUUACACACCAACCAGACGGCAGCUACACACCGACCAGACGGCAGCUACACACCGACCAGACGGCAGCUACACACCGACCAGACGGCCGUUACACACCGACCAGACGGCCGUUACACACCGACCAGACGGCCGUUACACACCGACCAGACGGCAGCUACACACCGACCAGACGGCAGCUACACACCGACCAGACGGCACCGACCAGACGGCACAGACCAGACGGCACCGACCAGACGGCCGUUACACACCGACCAGACAUCCGUUACACACCAACCAGACGGCCGUCACACACCGACCAGACGGCAGCUACACACCGACCAGACGGCAGCUACACACCGACCAGACGGCAGUCACACACCGACCAGACGGCAGCUACACACCGACCAGACGGCACCGACCAGAUGGCACCAACCAGACGGCCGCUACACACCGACCAGACGGACGUUACACACCGACCAGACGGCCGUUACACACCGACCAGACGGCCGUCACACACCGACCAGACGGCACCGACCAGAGGGCCGUUACACACCGACCAGACGGCCGUUACACACCGACCAGACGGCCGUCACACACCGACCAGACGGCACCGACCAGACGGCCGUUACACACCGACCAGACGGCCGUCACACACCGACCAGACGGCACCGACCAGAGGGCCGUUACACACCGACCAGACGGCCGUCACACACCGACCAGACGGCACCGACCAGACGGCUGUUACACACCGACCAGACGGCCGUUACACACCAACCAGACGGCCGUUACACACCGACCAGACGCCCGUUACACACCAACCAGGCGGCCGUUACACACCGACCAGGCGGCCGUUACACACCAGACCGCAGUGUGACUGAUUAGUCUCCACGAGUUGGUCCAAAAGUUCCUCAAAACACACCGAAGAGACGAGACGUAAUACGUCUCCAUAGCAGCAGGCGGCGCUAAUCUGGAUUGUCGCCCAAAAAAUGAAAACCGGCAGCUGAUUGGACGAAUGCGUCACGUGGGUCUGGUUUCUC
RNAcentral lists this long non-coding RNA (1135 nucleotides) under Sander lucioperca (pikeperch). RNAcentral's name for it is "lncRNA (ENSSLUG00000006928.1)". Lineage: Eukaryota; Metazoa; Chordata; Actinopteri; Perciformes; Percidae. The record is from RNAcentral.